GGUUGCGAUCAUACAGCACUAAUGCACCGGAUCCCAUCAGAACUCCGCAGUUAAGCGUGCUUGGGCGAGAGUAGUACUAGGAUGGGUGACCCCCAUGGGAAGGUCCUCGUGUUGCAACCC
RNAcentral lists this ribosomal RNA (120 nucleotides) under Helianthus annuus (common sunflower). The record is from RNAcentral. Lineage: Eukaryota; Viridiplantae; Streptophyta; Magnoliopsida; Asterales; Asteraceae.